AGGACAUGACAUUUGUGUAUCGCCUACCACAAGUUUUGUAUUAAUUUAAUUUUUUAGAGAAAGUUAUGUGAAGUUGGACCCUUUUAGUUCUGCAAUUUUGUACGCGUGUCGCACACUUUAGAAAAUAAAUCAAAAAUGUUGAAUAGUAUUAUUUGUUUCACAUGAAAAAGCAAGAUUCAUUGUCAUUUCAAACUCAACGGUUUUAAUAAAGAAAUCAUAUUUUGAAGAAGAUCAACAGUUGCAGUUAUUCUAAUUCAUUGAUGUUAAUAACAAUGCCUAUAGUCUCUUCCCUUCUGUUCUACCUAACGCUGUCAGCAUCUUGGACCGCAGCGGGCUUGGUGGACGACCAGCCCUACUGCGCCGUGCGGUACCGAAGGCUGUGUCAAGGGAAAGGGAGGCAUGUAGGCUGCCAGUUUCCUGAUGCUGGUCCCGGGAUUUCCUGCAAGAACUACCGUCCGAUACAAUUUCACAACGAUCUGAAGCAUUUCAUCACACAUUACAUUAACAGG
Long non-coding RNA from Ostrinia nubilalis (European corn borer), 509 nucleotides. RefSeq lists it as uncharacterized. The transcript has 3 exons. The record is from RefSeq and is a predicted model, not a curated record. Lineage: Eukaryota; Metazoa; Arthropoda; Insecta; Lepidoptera; Crambidae.